ACUGAGUUGCAAAACUCCAACCAUUGUUAACCUACCUAGUAUCUGUUGCUUCGGCGGGGGCCUUCGCCCUACGCUUACCCCUGCGGGGGAAGCGACCCGCCGGAGGCACUUAAACUCUGUAUUAUUAUGGCUUCUGCUGAGUAUACUUUUAAUAAGUCA
This 159-nucleotide unclassified non-coding RNA is filed under the name soil metagenome. RNAcentral's name for it is "partial internal transcribed spacer 1". The record is from RNAcentral.